RNAcentral lists this ribosomal RNA (133 nucleotides) under Klebsiella aerogenes. Its description in RNAcentral is "partial 23S ribosomal RNA". The stretch from base 1 to 115 matches the Rfam family "Bacterial large subunit ribosomal RNA", at positions 2808 to 2925 of the family's 2925-position model. The record is from RNAcentral. Lineage: Bacteria; Pseudomonadati; Pseudomonadota; Gammaproteobacteria; Enterobacterales; Enterobacteriaceae.
UGACUCCUUGAGACUCCUGAAGGAACGUUAAAGACGAUGACGUUGAUAGGUCGGGUGUGUAAGCGUAGCGAUACGUUGAGCUAACCGAUACUAAUGAACCGUGAGGCUUAACCUUACAACGCCGAAGGUGUUU